UUUCCCUUUUUUUUCCCUUUUUUCCCUUUUUUUUCCUUUUUUCCCCUU
This 48-nucleotide non-coding RNA is filed under the name Leptocylindrus danicus. Lineage: Eukaryota; Bacillariophyta; Leptocylindrophyceae; Leptocylindrales; Leptocylindraceae. The record is from RNAcentral.